This 500-nucleotide ribosomal RNA is filed under the name uncultured bacterium. RNAcentral describes it as "partial 16S ribosomal RNA". It matches the Rfam family "Bacterial small subunit ribosomal RNA", at positions 30 to 523 of the family's 1533-position model. The record is from RNAcentral.
AUUGAACGCUGGCGGAAUGCUUUACACAUGCAAGUCGAACGGCAGCACGGACUUCGGUCUGGUGGCGAGUGGCGAACGGGUGAGUAACAUAUCGGAACGUAUCCAAUAAUGGGGGAUAACGAGUCGAAAGAUUCGCUAAUACCGCAUACGCCCUACGGGGGAAAGCUGGGGACCUUCGGGCCUGGCGUUAAUGGAGCGGCCGAUAUCUGAUUAGCUAGUUGGUGAGGUAAAGGCUCACCAAGGCGACGAUCAGUAGCUGGACUGAGAGGACGACCAGCCACACGGGAAAUGAGACACGGUCCAGACUCCUACGGGAGGCAGCAGUGGGGAAUUUUGGACAAUGGGCGCAAGCCUGAUCCAGCCAUUCCGCGUGAGUGAAGAAGGCCUUCGGGUUGUAAAGCUCUUUCGCAAGGGAAGAAAACUUAGCCACUAACAUUGGUUGAGGUUGACGGUACCUUGAUAAGAAGCACCGGCUAACUACGUGCCAGCCGCCGCCGUAA